This 69-nucleotide transfer RNA is filed under the name Marmota monax (woodchuck). Its description in RNAcentral is "tRNA.Ala". The stretch from base 4 to 64 matches the Rfam family "tRNA", at positions 6 to 65 of the family's 71-position model. From Rfam's summary of the family: Transfer RNA (tRNA) molecules are approximately 80 nucleotides in length. Their secondary structure includes four short double-helical elements and three loops (D, anti-codon, and T loops). The record is from RNAcentral. Lineage: Eukaryota; Metazoa; Chordata; Mammalia; Rodentia; Sciuridae.
GGAUGUAGUUCAGGGGUAGAGCUCCUGCCUAGCAUGUAUGAAGGCCUGGGUUCAAUUCCCAGCACUGCA